This 492-nucleotide ribosomal RNA is filed under the name uncultured bacterium. RNAcentral's name for it is "partial 16S ribosomal RNA". It matches the Rfam family "Bacterial small subunit ribosomal RNA", at positions 29 to 507 of the family's 1533-position model. The record is from RNAcentral.
AGUGAACGCUGGCGGUAGGCCUAACACAUGCAAGUCGAACGGCAGCACAGUAAGGGCUUGCUCUUACGGGUGGCGAGUGGCGGACGGGUGAGGAAUACAUCGGAAUCUACUUUUUCGUGGGGGAUAACGUAGGGAAACUUACGCUAAUACCGCAUACGACCUACGGGUGAAAGCAGGGGAUCUUCGGACCUUGCGCGAUUGAAUGAGCCGAUGUCGGAUUAGCUAGUUGGCGGGGUAAAGGCCCACCAAGGCGACGAUCCGUAGCUGGUCUGAGAGGAUGAUCAGCCACGCUGGAACUGAGACACGGUCCAGACUCCUACGGGAGGCAGCAGUGGGGAAUAUUGGACAAUGGGCGCAAGCCUGAUCCAGCCAUACCGCGUGGGUGAAGAAGGCCUUCGGGUUGUAAAGCCCUUUUGUUGGGAAAGAAAAGCAGCAGGUUAAUACCCCGCUGUUCUGACGGUACCCAAAGAAUAAGCACCGGCUAACUUCGUG